AUGGGGACCUGUAUGAAUGGCAUUACGAGGGUUUAACUGUCUCCUUUCCCAAGUUAAUGAAAUUGAUCCCCCCGUGCAGAAGCGGGAAUAUGAACAUAAGACGAGAAGACCCUAUGGAGCUUUAGGCAAUAAACAGAUCGUACCAAGCAUCCCUAAUAAAGGAACACAACCAUACGAAACCUGUCCAAAUGCC
This 193-nucleotide ribosomal RNA is filed under the name Canthidermis sufflamen (ocean triggerfish). RNAcentral describes it as "partial large subunit ribosomal RNA". The record is from RNAcentral. Lineage: Eukaryota; Metazoa; Chordata; Actinopteri; Tetraodontiformes; Balistidae.